This is a long non-coding RNA of Myotis myotis, 1744 nucleotides long. RefSeq lists it as uncharacterized. Lineage: Eukaryota; Metazoa; Chordata; Mammalia; Chiroptera; Vespertilionidae. The record is from RefSeq and is a predicted model, not a curated record. The transcript has 4 exons.
GUGGAGCAGGCAUCUGAGGGCCCUGAGGAAGACGAGGUGGAGGAGGACCGGGACACCCGCGAGCCUCCCGAGGCGGUGGGAGGCGGGACAAGGCCAGAGCGGACAUACUAGGGCACACCCAGUGACAAAACAACGCCGGGUUUGGGGUUUGCCGGAGGGAAGAGGCCAUCGUUCAAAGUGGAGAUUGCUCUGCUGCCGUUUGUAGGCCACGCGUGGCUCGCCCUCCUCUCCCCGCAGCCCUCCACUUCCUCUUCAGAAUCGGGCAGUGUCUCCGUGGGCAGGGUCAGACUUUGGCACAGAAAAAGAAUAAUGUCUUAAAAUCAAGGAGAAGCCUAAGGCAUCAAAGAGGUUUUCUUAUUCAGUAGCAUGAAGGAAAUGAUUGUCAGCAAGAGUGGCAAGAUUAUCCAAGGUGACAACUAUCUCUACUACCCAGGCCUCACAGAGUUUCUGAAGCUUCCUUGUCCAGAACUGCUUCACUAUGAUUCACUGUACAGGCUAGCCUCCCCUGCUCAAGCUCAGCAGCCCAUCUUGUCUGAAGUCACAUUUCAACCUUUGGACCGGUGCUAACCCUCACUCCUGAACCUACUUUGGAGGCUGACAUACAGCCCUGCAGCAGAUUACAGCUCCUCCAAAACCCCCUGGGGUGACAGUUCAUGUCCAGAGUCUGUUCAGGCUCUGCAGCCAACCUUGACUGAAGUUGCAUUUCAAACUUUGGACCUGAAGCUAACCCUCCCUCCCGAACCUACUUUGAAGGUUGAUGCCAUAGCCCUGUAGCAGACUACAGCUCCUCCAAAGCUCCUCAAGGUGACAUUUGCACUUCCAGAGCCUGUUUAGGCUCAGCAGCCAAACUUCUCUGAAAUCUGCAGUUCCAGACAACUCAGCCUUUGGAGUUGGCCCUGGACUCUGUCCUGCUGACCUCUAACCCACGUCAUUUAUCUCUGAAGAGGCUGAAUUCCGGCAUUCCAACCUUCUUCAGUACAACCUACUCUAAAUGGCACUCAAAUAUUUGCUGAUUCACAAUUUGACUGGGAUGGAUGGCUGUGGACUGAAAAAACCUGUCCCAUGAGUAUCAAAAGUGGUCUCUUCUUUUUUGACAGAUGAACUUACUACUUAUAAAAGGACCGUUCAUGAAAGUACUGCAAGGCCUGAGGAACACCAGCACUGAGCUGACUAUUGAGCCAGAGAGGGCAUCCUCACACAGAAAUGGAGACAGUUUGUCAUCCCUAACGAGUGGGCAGCUAGAUUGUAAUGAUAAAAGUGAUGUUAUGCGUGCACCAAUUUACAUACUGCCUUAUUUCUUGGAGGGGAAUCUAUAAGAUAUAGAAUCAGUGUUAUUACUAUUCAUUAAACUCCUUUUUCAAAUGUACAAGAUGCAGACAUGCCCCUGAGUCAUUUGAAAAACAGAGGGAACUCUUCUCUUAAACCUGAGUUUUACCAUUCAAGUUACAAAAAUAAAUUGAGGAAACUGUUUUCCGGAACAAGCCUCCUGAUAAAGCUUCUGAGUGAGUGGCAAGAAGUAACGUUUCCAAGGCGGAGCGGGAUGUGGAUCAAUGGAAAAAGCAGAGGCUGGAAGCUCAGGGUGAACAGGAAGAGGAGGAGCCCAAUGAGGUAUAAUGGGAAGCUCUUGGAAGCUUUUCAAGUGGAGAACGGAGGGGAUGGGGAAGAAUGGAAGAGAAAAGACGGAGUGGAGCGUAUUGUCAUCAAGGUGAGCGACGAGGAGGACUUCUACCCAUGUAUUUUUCCA